Long non-coding RNA from Clarias gariepinus (North African catfish), 764 nucleotides. RefSeq lists it as uncharacterized. The transcript has 6 exons. Lineage: Eukaryota; Metazoa; Chordata; Actinopteri; Siluriformes; Clariidae. The record is from RefSeq and is a predicted model, not a curated record.
CAAUGAUUGUGUUCACAACCUUGUGUGUGGUGUUCCUAGCCCUUACCAAAGGCAGUCUUCAUCACAUAUUCAUCUGGUGGCACUGAUGGUGAUCUGCAGGUCUCUUGCACUGGCUUGCCACCUGUUACCAUAACUGCCCAACCAACUACUGCCACAACUACUGGAGCAUCUGUGGUGUGUGGAAGUGCCAAGCUCAAUUUUACAGUAUUUCGGGAAAAGCAAACAGCACCUUGGCAUCAGCAGGUAGAUGGCCGUGGAUGGUCAGCCUGCAGAUUAACUCUACUCACAUUUGUGGUGGAACACUGAUAGCUCAGCAGUUCGCCAUAAGCUCAGUUGAUUGUUUCUCUAGCUCAGCCAAACUCUCUGACUGGACCGUGAAACUGAGUGAAACGAGGUCUCUGUUGCCGUGGCUGAUAUCACAUUCAGCACAAGUGCCAGCAAUAACAUAGCUGUGGUAAAGUUAUCCACCACUCCUACAAUGUCCAACUUCCUUCGGCCCAUUUGUGUGAACCUGGGAACUACUGUACCAGCUUCAACACUGGCACUUAGUGCUGAAAAGCUGGCUGGAGCUCAGAAGGUGAAGCCCAGCAAACACUUCAGCAGUUCAACACGACUAUAGUGGAUUGUGGAACUGUGUCUCCAUCAAUCAUCUGCAUAGCAGCCAUACCAUUAGAACAGGGUGAAAAGGGAGGUCCUCUAAUGUGUCUGUCAUGGUUCCAGGCUGCUGUUUUAACCCUUGACAACAAGCGCAUCACUAAGUCUAC